This 255-nucleotide ribosomal RNA is filed under the name uncultured bacterium. Its description in RNAcentral is "partial 16S ribosomal RNA". It matches the Rfam family "Bacterial small subunit ribosomal RNA", at positions 1237 to 1500 of the family's 1533-position model. The record is from RNAcentral.
GUACAGAGGGAUGCUACCGGGCGACCGGAUGCGGAUCUCGAAAGCCUGUCCCAGUUCGGACUGGAGUCUGCAACCCGACUCCACGAAGUUGGAUUCGCUAGUAAUCGCGCAUCAGCCAUGGCGCGGUGAAUACGUUCCCGGGCCUUGUACACACCGCCCGUCAAGCCAUGGGAGCCGGGGGCGCCUGAAGUCCGGGACCGCGAGGACCGGCCUAGGGCGAAACUGGUAACUGGGGCUAAGUCGUAACAAGGUAUC